This is a long non-coding RNA of Musca domestica (house fly), 2172 nucleotides long. RefSeq lists it as uncharacterized. The record is from RefSeq and is a predicted model, not a curated record. The transcript is spliced from 3 exons. NCBI's taxonomy places the organism in Eukaryota, Metazoa, Arthropoda, Insecta, Diptera, Muscidae.
UGUUCCAGAACCUACAAAUUUGUACUAAUUAGUGCUAAUUCUGCUACAACGCGUUCCCGUACUCCAAAAACUAGCAAAACUUGCAGCUCUCUCGAGAAAAAAAUGGCGCUGAGUGGUGCACAUUUCUGCUUGUUUUAGCUACAUGAAUUUGGCCGAGCAGAAAUGUGCAAAUUGUAAAUUUGACAUUUAAUUGGCAGGGCUUACAAGGUUGAAAAUGUAUUGAUACAUUUCAAUGUUCGCGCGUGACAACAAAUGUAAAGAAAAAAGAUAAAUUAAAAAACUACAGAAAAACUAAUAUUUGUCGUGCAAAAAACAAAAGCAGAAAAUAUGGAGCAACUGAUGUAUUCACUUUUCGAAAAAUUAAGCUUAAAAUCAAAGAUUUUCGCUUAUUACUACGAACAUUUUCUUUUUAUUUUUUAGGUUGGUAGUCUUCCCAACUUGUGGCAUUAAGUCUUCUAGCAGAUUUAACAUUAACUAAACCGGCGGCUCCAAUGAUGUUAGCUGCUCCGGCUCCGACUCUUCAACGCAUUCUGAAAACAAAACUUUCUAAAUAAACAGCAUUCAAAAAAGAACUCUAGUUUAGUAAAAACUCUUAGAUUUUUUCGAAAUUUUUUCCAGAGGUAGGUAUUUUUACACUGAUCCCGGGAAACUAUUUUUUUCUUGGGGGACGGACCCGGGACCCCAGAUUUUUGACCCAAAAGUCCGGGAUCAAGACCCCGCCUGGACCCGGAUCCACUUACCCGAUAUGGGUAUCGAUUGAAAGCUUAUGGAAAUACCUAUCCAACAAGUGGUCACAUGAAGGGGUUGUAACAACCGUGUUCAAGAAAAACGAAAUGAAAUCGCUGUGUUGACCAUUAAGUGGCGUUGCCGGUAUGCUGGCGUUUAGCGCGGCUAUGGCUCGUCGGAUUGGGGCACGGACGGACGGAAAGUUUUGGAGCUGCAGAAAUGAUAAAAUUUUGGAUUGGUGACUGCCUACGUUUGGAUUAAACGAAAGGUAAGAUUGAGACCUGAUAUUUUCUUUUUCUGUAGGGUACCCUCAACUGGGUCCACACUUUGGUCAGAUUGUUGGAUACGAUAUUAUUUCAAAUGCAUUUAGAUGUGUUUGAUCGUGUCUUCCCGCUUCCAGACUCUAACGUCGUAAAUCGAUGACUGACAGCUCUGCGACAUUGUAUACAACACUCUUCUGCCUUGUGCCAUAGUUGCGUAUGGGAAUAUAAAGGAAGAGUGCACAAAUGGUCAAGGACAGUCACAACGUGACUGCUCAGGAAUCGUAGACAUAUGGUUAGAGUCGGUAAAUCUGGGAUGCUUCCUUUCGUAAUCCAACGGAUUCUUUCUGACCACUGCUGCUGGUGUCUAGACGAGUGGCCUCCUAUGGUUACAUGAAAAAAAAAUUGUCCAUGGUCUCAAUAAUCAAAAGACAUCUAGAGAAGUUACUCAAAUUGAAUAUUGCAUUCACAAAAAGACAAAUAUUACCUAUGAAAUUUGCGUGUCCUUCAAAAACGGGAAAUUAUAUUUGAUGGUAAGUUCGAUUAAUCCUGUUCUCCUUUUUCUUUCUCCAGCAGGUGUACCAUCGACUAGACCUUCAGCUUUUGUCAGAAUGUCGGAUACGUUUUGCAAAUGCACUGAGGUGUAUUUGUUCUUUUUGUCUCCUGGCUUCCAGACUCUAGUGUCGUAAGUCGGGUGAAGGACGGAUCUGCGACCUCGUGUACAACAGUUCCCUGGCCCGUGCCAAAGAGCGAACGGCUACUGUUUCACCGCGAAAGGGGAAUUGCACUAAUGGUCAAAGACAGUCACCAGGUGACUGCUCCGGAUGCGCAGACGUCAACUAGAGUCGGUAAACCCAGAGUGCUUUAAUUCGUACUCUGACUUCACAAUUCUGACAUCUGCUGUUAGAGUCUAGAAGAUUGGACGCCUGUUCGAAUGGAAAAAAACAGGGUUCCGAACUUCACCAAAUAUUCUAGUCGAGACUUACAGCGGUCCUACUGACGGAGUUUCAAAAUCAAACGUAAGAUGUAGUUUUAAUACAAUUUCCUAUUUUUGUAAUUUUUCUCUGAAAAAUUGAGAAAUAUUAUGAGAGCUAUAUUUUUUUUAUAAACUUAAAUUUUAUAUUUCAUAACCAAAAAUUAGCUAAAAAAAAAAACUUUGUAAGUAUGGCUUGAGAUGGACAUUUCA